This 253-nucleotide ribosomal RNA is filed under the name uncultured bacterium. Its description in RNAcentral is "partial 16S ribosomal RNA". It matches the Rfam family "Bacterial small subunit ribosomal RNA", at positions 524 to 776 of the family's 1533-position model. The record is from RNAcentral.
UACGGAGGGUCCAAGCGUUAUCCGGAAUCAUUGGGUUUAAAGGGUCCGUAGGCGGUUUAGUAAGUCAGUGGUGAAAUCUCCGAGCUUAACUCGGAGACUGCCAUUGAUACUAUCAAUCUUGAAUACUGUGGAGGUCAGCGGAAUAUGUCAUGUAGCGGUGAAAUGCUUAGAUAUGACAUAGAACACCAAUUGCGAAGGCAGCUGGCUACACAAAUAUUGACACUGAGGCACGAAAGCGUGGGGAUCAAACAGG